Molecule: ribosomal RNA, 359 nt
Filed under: Monacha cartusiana
Lineage: Eukaryota; Metazoa; Mollusca; Gastropoda; Stylommatophora; Hygromiidae
Description: partial large subunit ribosomal RNA
Rfam family: Bacterial large subunit ribosomal RNA
Source: RNAcentral
CAGUACCCUGACUGUGCAAAGGUAGCAUAAUCAGUUGACUUAUAAUUGAAGUCUAGUAUGAAUGGGAACACGGGAAUAUUCUGUCUUUAAUAUAUAAAAGAAAUUACUAAUUAAGUGAAAAUUCUUAAAAAUAAGAAAAUAGACGAGAAGACCCUAGAAAUUUUUUAAUUUGAUUUUGUUGGGGCGACAGGGUAACAAAAAACUUACCUAAAGUAAUAGGAAAUUUUUUAGUGGUGUAAUUAAAUUACUCUAGGGAUAACAGCAUAAUAUUUUAAAGGUUGUGACCUCGAUGUUGGACUAGGAAAUACACUACUUAAAAGGUAGUGUUUAUGGUUCUGUUCGAACUUUUACUCCUACAU